This 595-nucleotide ribosomal RNA is filed under the name uncultured bacterium. RNAcentral's name for it is "bacterial SSU rRNA". It matches the Rfam family "Bacterial small subunit ribosomal RNA", at positions 338 to 943 of the family's 1533-position model. The record is from RNAcentral.
CCUACGGGAGGCAGCAGUGGGGAAUAUUGGGCAAUGGGCGAAAGCCUGACCCAGCGACGCCGCGUGAGGGACGAAGGCCUUCGGGUUGUAAACCUCUUUCAGCAGGGAAGAAGCGAAAGUGACGGUACCUGCAGAAGAAGCACCGGCUAACUACGUGCCAGCAGCCGCGGUAAUACGUAGGGUGCAAGCGUUGUCCGGAAUUAUUGGGCGUAAAGAGCUCGUAGGUGGUUUGCCACGUCGGAUGUGAAAACCUGAGGCUUAACCUCAGGCCUGCAUUCGAUACGGGCAGACUAGAGUGUGGUAGGGGAGACUGGAAUUCCUGGUGUAGCGGUGAAAUGCGCAGAUAUCAGGAGGAACACCGGUGGCGAAGGCGGGUCUCUGGGCCAUAACUGACACUGAGGAGCGAAAGCGUGGGGAGCAAACAGGAUUAGAUACCCUGGUAGUCCACGCCGUAAACGGUGGGCACUAGAUGUGGGGACCUUCCACGGUCUCUGCGUCGCAGCUAACGCAUUAAGUGCCCCGCCUGGGGAGUACGGCCGCAAGGCUAAAACUCAAAGANAGUGCGUGNGAGAGCGACGACGACGACGAGGAGGAG